RNAcentral lists this ribosomal RNA (517 nucleotides) under uncultured Bacillota bacterium. RNAcentral's name for it is "bacterial SSU rRNA". It matches the Rfam family "Bacterial small subunit ribosomal RNA", at positions 355 to 864 of the family's 1533-position model. The record is from RNAcentral. Lineage: Bacteria; Bacillati; Bacillota.
UGGGGAAUCUUCCGCAAUGGGCGAAAGCCUGACGGAGCAACGCCGCGUGAGUGAUGAAGGUUUUCGGAUCGUAAAGCUCUGUUGCCAGGGAAGAACGUCGGUAGAGUAACUGCUACCGGAGUGACGGUACCUGAGAAGAAAGCCCCGGCUAACUACGUGCCAGCAGCCGCGGUAAUACGUAGGGGGCAAGCGUUGUCCGGAAUUAUUGGGCGUAAAGCGCGCGCAGGCGGCUGUUUAAGUCUGGUGUUUAAACCUUGGGCUCAACCUGGGGUCGCACUGGAAACUGGGCGGCUUGAGUACAGAAGAGGAAAGUGGAAUUCCACGUGUAGCGGUGAAAUGCGUAGAUAUGUGGAGGAACACCAGUGGCGAAGGCGACUUUCUGGGCUGUAACUGACGCUGAGGCGCGAAAGCGUGGGGGAGCAAACAGGAUUAGAUACCCUGGUAGUCCACGCCGUAAACGAUGAGUGCUAGGUGUUAGGGGUUUCGAUACCCUUGGUGCCGAAGUUAACACAGUAAG